GUGCUCACUUCAGCAACACAUAUACUAAUAUUGGAAUGACACAGAAAAGGUUACCCUGGCCACUGCACAGGGAUGUCACACUGAUUCCUUAGGCAUUUUAUAUUUCU
Small nuclear RNA from Sphaerodactylus townsendi, 107 nucleotides. NCBI's taxonomy places the organism in Eukaryota, Metazoa, Chordata, Lepidosauria, Squamata, Sphaerodactylidae. The record is from RefSeq and is a predicted model, not a curated record.